GGGGGGGGGGGGCGGGGGGCGGGGGGGGGGCGGGUCGGGCGGGGGGGCGGGCUUCGGCCUGGCGGCGAGGGGCGAACGGGGGAGUAAUGCAUCGGAACGUGCCCAGUAGUGGGGGAUAGCCCGGCGAAAGCCGGAUUAAUACCGCAUACGACCUGCGGGUGAAAGCGGGGGACCGAAAGGCCUCGCGCUAUUGGAGCGGCCGAUGUCGGAUUAGCUAGUUGGUGGGGUAAAGGCUUACCAAGGCGACGAUCCGUAGCUGGUCUGAGAGGACGACCGGCCACACUGGGACUGAGACACGGCCCAGACUCCUACGGGAGGCAGCAGUGGGGAAUUUUGGACAAUGGGGGCAACCCUGAUCCAGCCAUGCCGCGUGCGGGAAGAAGGCCUUCGGGUUGUAAACCGCUUUUGUUCGGGAAGAAAUCCUCUGGGCUAAUACCCCGGGGGGAUGACGGUACCGGAAGAAUAAGCACCGGCUAACUACGUG
RNAcentral lists this ribosomal RNA (484 nucleotides) under uncultured bacterium. RNAcentral describes it as "partial 16S ribosomal RNA". It matches the Rfam family "Bacterial small subunit ribosomal RNA", at positions 38 to 507 of the family's 1533-position model. The record is from RNAcentral.